RNAcentral lists this long non-coding RNA (212 nucleotides) under Ictidomys tridecemlineatus (thirteen-lined ground squirrel). RNAcentral's name for it is "lncRNA (ENSSTOG00000033880.1)". Lineage: Eukaryota; Metazoa; Chordata; Mammalia; Rodentia; Sciuridae. The record is from RNAcentral.
GCGCGGUCGUCUCGGUGCUCCUCUCUCGCCUGCAGCUAGCUGCCUCUCUCCCGGUACAAAUCUGGGGGCUCUGCUUCCCGCGGCGAGGCUCCUGUACCAGUGCGCGGAGUAGGGAACGGCAUGGACACGAGCAAAGGCGGGGGCCGGCGAGUUCAUCCAGAGCUGGCUGACCCCUGGGGAAAUGUACACAGGUGGAUCAAGAGUGCACCUGG